RNAcentral lists this ribosomal RNA (460 nucleotides) under uncultured bacterium. RNAcentral describes it as "partial 16S ribosomal RNA". It matches the Rfam family "Bacterial small subunit ribosomal RNA", at positions 338 to 795 of the family's 1533-position model. The record is from RNAcentral.
CCUACGUGUGGCAGCAGUGAGGAAUAUUGGUCAAUGGCCGCGAGCCUGACCCAGCCAAGUCGCGUGAAGGAUGACUGCCCUACGGGUUUUAAACUUCUUUUAUAAAGGAAUAAAGUGCUGUACGUGUGCCUUUUUGUCUGUACUUUAUGAAUAUGCAUAGGCUAACUCCGUGCCAGCAGCCGCGGUAAUACGGUGGGUCCGAGCGUUACCCGGAUUGUUUGGGUUUAAAGGGAGCUUCGAUGGGUUUUUAAGUCAGUUGGUAAAGUCUGGGGGUAAAAUGUAAAAUUGCCAGUGAUACUGGAAGUCUUGAGUACAGAUGAGGUAGGCGGAAUUCGUGGUGUAGCGGUGAAAUGCUUAGAUAUCACGAAGAACGCCGAUAGCGAAGGCAGCAUACUAAACUGCAACUGACAUUGAUGCUCGAAAGUGUGGGUAGCAAACAGGAUUAGAUACCCUGGUAGGC